CGUAGGGGGCGAGCGUUGUCCGAAUUUACUGGGCGUAAAGCGCGCGUAGGCGGGUUAUUAAGUUGGUGGUGAAAUCCCGGGGCUCAACCCCCGGAACUGCCUCCAAAACUGGUAGCCUUGAGGUAUGGAGAGGGAAGUGGAAUUCCAGGUGUAGCGGUGAAAUGCGUAGAUAUCUGGAGGAACACCCGUGGCGAAGGCGGCUUCCUGGCCAUAUCCUGACGCUGAGGUGCGAAAGCUAGGGGAGCGAACGGGAUUAGAUACCCCGGUAGUCCUAGCCGUAAACGAUGGAUACUAGGUGUUAGAGGUAUCGACCCCUCUAGUGCCGCAGCUAACGCAUUAAGUAUCCCGCCUGGGGAGUACGACCGCAAGGUUG
Molecule: ribosomal RNA, 373 nt
Filed under: uncultured organism
Description: bacterial SSU rRNA
Rfam family: Bacterial small subunit ribosomal RNA
Source: RNAcentral